GGGCCGUUAGCUCAGGGGUUAGAGCGGCCGGCUCAUAACCGGAGGAUCGGAGGUUCGAAGCCUCCACGGCCCACCA
Molecule: transfer RNA, 76 nt
Filed under: Chloroflexota bacterium
Lineage: Bacteria; Bacillati; Chloroflexota
Also listed under: 1 other name
Description: Chloroflexi bacterium tRNA-Met
Rfam family: tRNA
About the family: Transfer RNA (tRNA) molecules are approximately 80 nucleotides in length. Their secondary structure includes four short double-helical elements and three loops (D, anti-codon, and T loops). Further hydrogen bonds mediate the characteristic L-shaped molecular structure. tRNAs have two regions of fundamental functional importance: the anti-codon, which is responsible for specific mRNA codon recognition, and the 3' end, to which the tRNAs corresponding amino acid is attached (by aminoacyl-tRNA synthetases). tRNAs cope with the degeneracy of the genetic code in two manners: having more than one tRNA (with a specific anti-codon) for a particular amino acid; and 'wobble' base-pairing, i.e. permitting non-standard base-pairing at the 3rd anti-codon position.
Source: RNAcentral